GUAUUUAUAGCUUAUUAGAGUUUAAUAUUGAAGAUAUUAAGGAGAAAAAUUUUAUUUCUGAUUACA
RNAcentral lists this transfer RNA (66 nucleotides) under Leptobelus gazella. RNAcentral's name for it is "tRNA-Phe". The record is from RNAcentral. Lineage: Eukaryota; Metazoa; Arthropoda; Insecta; Hemiptera; Membracidae.